UGUGCUGGUCUCACAUUAGCACAAGGUCGCAAGGCCUUGAUGUUUACGCUUGUUUGUUUGACAGAGUUAGUUGAGAAUAAAAAUAAAGACAACUUUUAACAAUGGAUCUCUUGGCUCUUGCAACGAUGAAGAACGCAGUAAAGUGCGAUAUGUAGUGCGAUUUGCAUGAAUCUGUGAGUCAUCUAAUCUUUGAACGCAACUUGCGCCUUUUACGAGGCAUGUUUGUUUGAGUGCCGCAAUCUUCUGCAGCAAUGCGAUUUGACUCUUGUCUUUGUUGACCGAGUUUAAAGAGAGCUAGAGGAUGGUCAGUUUAGACUAGCCCGAGUGCUAAGCAUUCUUGGGUCUAGCGCUGGAUUGCUCGUUACAUCUAUUUUUUAUUUGGCCUCAAAUCAAGCAAGACUACCCGCUGAACUUAAGCAUAUCAGUAAGCGGAGGAAAAGAAACUAACAAGGAUUCCCCUAGUAACGGCGAGUGAAGCGGGAAUAGCUCAAAUUUAAAAUCUCGGCGUUAUGCGUCGCGAAUUGUAGUCUAAAGAGGGUGAUCUAGGGUUGGCAAUAUGCUCAAGUCUCUUGGAAUAGAGCGCCAGAGAGGGUGAGAGCCCCGUAAAAGCAUGUUGCUGGCCUCAAGUGAGAGCCUCUCAACGAGUCGAGUUGUUUGGGAAUGCAGCUCAAAGUGGGUGGUAAAUCUCAUCUAAGGCUAAAUACUGGCAAGAGACCGAUAGCGAACAAGUACCGUGAGGGAAAGAUGAAAAGCACCUUGAAAAGGGAGUUAAAUAGUGCGUGAAAUUGUUAAAA
Molecule: ribosomal RNA, 794 nt
Filed under: uncultured fungus
Lineage: Eukaryota; Fungi
Description: eukaryotic LSU rRNA
Rfam family: Eukaryotic large subunit ribosomal RNA (bases 380-794)
Source: RNAcentral